UUCGGCUCGUGUGAUUUGUUUUUAUUUGAUAGUUUUUUAUGGCAACUGGUACUGUUUAAUGGUUCUAUGAUUCCAUAGGCUUUGGCUUCGUCGCUCCUGAUUGGUUCAAUGAUUCCAACGGCUUUGGCUUCAUCACUCCUGAUGACGGCGGCGAGGAUCUGUUCGCGCACUUCUCCGCAAUCAAUAUGGCCGGUUUCAAGACCCUCAAAGAAGGUCAGAAAGUCCAAUUCGAAGUCACGCAAGGCCCUAAAGGCAAGCAAGCUUCCAACAUCCAGGGCGUGUAAUCCACCCCGGGAAGCAAAAGCCCCGCUUCGGCGGGGCUUUUUUU
Molecule: small RNA, 328 nt
Filed under: Massilia sp. WF1
Lineage: Bacteria; Pseudomonadati; Pseudomonadota; Betaproteobacteria; Burkholderiales; Oxalobacteraceae
Description: cspA thermoregulator
Rfam family: cspA thermoregulator
Source: Rfam by way of RNAcentral